RNAcentral lists this ribosomal RNA (472 nucleotides) under uncultured organism. RNAcentral's name for it is "partial 16S ribosomal RNA". It matches the Rfam family "Bacterial small subunit ribosomal RNA", at positions 332 to 796 of the family's 1533-position model. The record is from RNAcentral.
UACACUCCUACGGGAGGCAGCAGUGGGGAAUUUUGGACAAUGGGCGAAAGCCUGAUCCAGCAAUGCCGCGUGAGUGAAGAAGGCCUUCGGGUUGUAAAGCUCUUUUGUCAGGGAAGAAACGGUGAGAGCUAAUAUCUUUUGCUAAUGACGGUACCUGAAGAAUAAGCACCGGCUAACUACGUGCCAGCAGCCGCGGUAAUACGUAGGGUGCAAGCGUUAAUCGGAAUUACUGGGCGUAAAGCGUGCGCAGGCGGUUUUGUAAGUCUGAUGUGAAAUCCCCGGGCUCAACCUGGGAAUUGCAUUGGAGACUGCAAGGCUAGAAUCUGGCAGAGGGGGGUAGAAUUCCACGUGUAGCAGUGAAAUGCGUAGAUAUGUGGAGGAACACCGAUGGCGAAGGCAGCCCCCUGGGUCAAGAUUGACGCUCAUGCACGAAAGCGUGGGGAGCAAACAGGAUUAGAAACCCGUGUAGUCC